RNAcentral lists this unclassified non-coding RNA (337 nucleotides) under soil metagenome. Its description in RNAcentral is "partial contains 5.8S ribosomal RNA, internal transcribed spacer 2, and large subunit ribosomal RNA". The stretch from base 1 to 120 matches the Rfam family "5.8S ribosomal RNA", at positions 35 to 154 of the family's 154-position model. The record is from RNAcentral.
GAUGAAGAACGUAGUGAAAUGCGAUAAGUAGUGUGAAUUGCAGAAUUCAGUGAAUGAUCGAAUCUUUGAACGCACAUUGCGCCCCUUGGUAUUCCAUGGGGCAUGCCUGUUCGAGCGUCAUUUGUACCUUCAAGCUCUGCUUGGUGUUGGGUGUUUGUCUCGCCUCUGCGUGUAGACUCGCCUCAAAACAAUUGGCAGCCGGCGUAUUGAUUUCGGAGCGCAGUACAUCUCGCGCUUUGCACUCAUAACGACGACGUCCAAAAGUACAUUUUUACACUCUUGACCUCGGAUCAGGUAGGGAUACCCGCUGAACUUAAGCAUAUCAAUAAGCGGAGGA